This is a non-coding RNA of Pelobates cultripes (western spadefoot toad), 214 nucleotides long. The record is from the annotation of a GenBank genome assembly. NCBI's taxonomy places the organism in Eukaryota, Metazoa, Chordata, Amphibia, Anura, Pelobatidae.
CAUUAUGUUCCAGAACACCCAAAAUGUAUAGAGUGGGCGGGGAGUUGUGGGGUGUUACAGUCCUAGUGAAAGUAUUAAUGUCUCUGCACUUUUUGGGUAUUCUAGCAGUAAUACUCCGUGUCACACAAAAGGAGUUUGACUGCAAAGGAACCUUAACUAUGGUCUGCACCCCCUGGAGUAGCUGACUGCAUGCUCCCUCCAUCUUCACGCUCCC